AUUGAACGCUGGCGGCAGGCUUAACACAUGCAAGUCGAGCGGGGUGAUGGUGCUUGCACUAUCACUUAGCGGCGGACGGGUGAGUAAUGCUUAGGAAUCUGCCUAUUAGUGGGGGACAACAUCUCGAAAGGGAUGCUAAUACCGCAUACGUCCUACGGGAGAAAGCAGGGGAUCAUUUGUGACCUUGCGCUAAUAGAUGAGCCUAAGUCGGAUUAGCUAGUUGGUGGGGUAAAGGCCUACCAAGGCGACGAUCUGUAGCGGGUCUGAGAGGAUGUUCCGCCACACGGGGAAGGGGAACCGGCCCAGACUCCGACGGGGGGCAGCAGUGGGGAAUAUUGGACAAUGGGGGGAACCCUGAUCCAGCCAUGCCGCGUGUGUGAAGAAGGCCUUAUGGUUGUAAAGCACUUUAAGCGAGGAGGAGGCUCUUUUGGUUAAUACCCAAGAUGAGUGGACGUUACUCGCAGAGUAAGCACCGGCUAACUCUGUGCCAGCAGCCGCCGUAA
RNAcentral lists this ribosomal RNA (503 nucleotides) under uncultured bacterium. RNAcentral describes it as "partial 16S ribosomal RNA". It matches the Rfam family "Bacterial small subunit ribosomal RNA", at positions 30 to 523 of the family's 1533-position model. The record is from RNAcentral.